GAUGAGAACGUAGCGAAAUGCGAUAAGUAAUGUGAAUUGCAGAGUUCAGUGAAUCAUCGAAUCUUUGAACGCACAUUGCGCCCCCUGGUAUUCCGGGGGGCAUGCCUGUCCGAGCGUCAUUACAACCCUCAAGCUCAGCUUGGUGUUGGGCCCCGCCGCCCCGGCGGGCCCUAAAGUCAGUGGCGGAGCCGUCCGGCUCCGAGCGUAGUAAUUCUUCUCGCUCUGGAGGUCCGGUCGUGUGCUCGCCAGCAACCCCCAAUUUUUUUCAGGUUGACCUCGGAUCAGGUAGGGAUACCCGCUGAACUUAAGCAUAUCAAUAAGCGGAGGA
RNAcentral lists this unclassified non-coding RNA (328 nucleotides) under soil metagenome. RNAcentral describes it as "partial contains 5.8S ribosomal RNA, internal transcribed spacer 2, and large subunit ribosomal RNA". The stretch from base 5 to 119 matches the Rfam family "5.8S ribosomal RNA", at positions 40 to 154 of the family's 154-position model. The record is from RNAcentral.